Molecule: long non-coding RNA, 2674 nt
Filed under: Olea europaea subsp. europaea
Lineage: Eukaryota; Viridiplantae; Streptophyta; Magnoliopsida; Lamiales; Oleaceae
Source: RNAcentral
UCUACUUUAUGCGAUCAUUGCCUAUUUGUGAUCAUGGAGAGGUAAAACGGUGUUAGCUAUUCAUUCUAUCAUAAUUAGUGAUGCUGUCAACAAUGCCAUAUUAUAGAAACUGUAAUCAGAUGUGCAUUAGAUAAAGUAUCAGUGGUGCUGUAAUUUUUAUUAAAAUAUAUUAAUGGAAAUAGGUGGAGAUUUCACUGCAAGAAAUUUGUAUAGUUACAAUUUUGAUAAUAUAAUUACAACAUUGUAACUCCACAGAGUUCGUAGCUAUUAAGCUCAAGGAUCAUACCAUGACACUAUGGGAGAGGGUAAUUGAAUAUAUGUUAAGAAGUCAAAGUCAAUAAAGAAUAAGUUUUGCAUUUGGCCAAACAUAUCUUCUAUGGAAGUCAUGCACCUAUCUCAGAAAUUGAUUAACAAAUAUAUAGAAAAGAAACAAGAUUUGCUUAUGAUUUUUAUUGAUACUGAAAAGAGCAUAUAAUAGGAUGCCUAAAGAGACAAAUUGUAUCUAAGAUAUUUUAAUACAAUAUUAUUGAAAAUGUAUUUAGCGAAGAAGUCACGAGAACAAGUUUAGUAGUUAUGGUAGUAAAGAAUGCUCUAUGUCUAUAGUUUUACAUAAAGGUUCUGCUUCUUGUUUUGAAGUUUAUGAAGGUUUUUCUUUUUGUUUUUUUCAUGCAAUUGGUGUGGUUUUUUUUUUUUUUUCAUAUAUAAAAGUUUUGUUCAUGGAAUUGGAGAAUUUUGAUUUUCUCAGCUCCUCUUUUUAAUCCUCUGCUCAUAAUGACAUAGUUAAUCAAAACUUGAACGAUCACCAGUUCUAGACUGAUAUCAAUUAAAAGUGUCAGAAAAUAAUACUUAGUCAAUUAGUCUAUUUGACACAGAAAUGAUAACAUUCAAUUCAAAGAAGUAGGUAAAGCCUUAGGGUUGAUUAUUGAUGUAUUGCUUCUUUCGGGGCUGCGACUUUUCUUAAUUAUACAGGAUCAACAGUUGAUUCAAAAUAUAACUGCACUCCAUUUUAUACCUGCAUGGAUAAAUAACAAUGUAACUGACGUUUGUUGGUGUUUCAGCUCUGCUUGAAGUUACAAAAAAAGCUAACUUCAAUGAUAUUAAAAGUCGAAUCUUAGCUGGAUAUGCAACUGGAAGGUACUGUAUUAUAUAAAUGACCAUUCCACAUUCAAAGGCGUUUAUGUUAAUGCCAGAGUGAAUUUAGCAGAGGAAUUUGAUUGACAUAUGCAUAGAUGAAUUCUAUUGGAUAUAUAAAGGCUUGCUUAGGUAACACUAAUGGCAACUAACUCUAAUUUACUUUGUAUGAAAACGAAAAUUGUAUUUGAAGAAAUCUCAGAUAGAAACUUGGCUAAAUGAAUGGUAUACUAGUCAAAGUUUUCUGUUUCUACUAGAUAGAAGAACUGUAAAUGCUUAGUUUUCUUUUCUUAAAUCGAUUGAGGAAUUCUGGUAACUUGGCGUUGCGAGUAUUUUAGGUGGUAAGUUAAUUGUGAGCAGCGCUAAGGAAAUUGCUAUAUGGAUAUGGUAACACUUGACUGUACCAAUCAAGUAUUUUGUCACUUUUUUCCUUGUGUACAUAGCUAAUUGAUUCCUUGUAUUUUGGAAUGGCAACUAGUCGAUUAGCUAUCUUCAAUGCAUCUAUAUUUUUCUCGUGCAAGAUUGCUGAGAACGAGCAUGAGCAUGGAUUGCUAUCUAAAAGUCUUUAUAUGAAUAAAAACCAACUUAGACUUGCGAUGGUGGUGACUUUGCCAUAGAAUGUGAAAUAAAACUAGACCCUGAAAAGAAAGUUAGAAUAGUCAUGUAGAUACUAGUAAUCCACAAGACAAGUCAUAAGCUUGCAUUUUUACUCAGCCUUAUAUUACAAAUUAAUAGAUAAGUUUGGCUAAGCUUUACAAAGUCCACUUCUAAGUAAAUACGUAAGUUUUUAAGAUAAAUAACUUGUUUUGUUGGUCGAAAUUGGAAAUAAGCAACUAACUUAUUUUACUUAGAAGUGAGAAAAAAAGUAACUUAUCAGAAAAAGUUUAAAAAUAAUAAUUUACUCAAAAAGUACCUCUGCUUACAUUUAAGCUUAGCCAUAUAUGCUCUUAGUAGGUAGUCAGAUCUGCUGUUCAUGAUCCUAGUGAUUUUAAGCACGUUUACCAUUUUACCUUAGUGAUUAUAACGAUUACAUUUAGUAGAAUGACAUCAGUUCAUUCAAUUUACAUUAAUUUAACUGUUAACUGUCUUUAAAAGCUGCUAACGACGUGAUCUUCUAUUCCUAAACGAUGGAAACUGGUCCAACUGGCUUCAACUAGGAUAAACCAAUAUUAGUUGCACGGCGAAUAUCAGACAAGUAUCUUCCACAAUCCAUGGCAGAAGAAUUUCAAAAAGGGAAUUCCGAUUUGGUAAAGCUCAAGCUGAUUGAAGGCACCAGUCAUAUGCCUCAGGGGUACUUUUAAUAUAACUACCGAAAACUAUUGAUGUGUAUUUACCGUUAUUUUUUCUGCUUCCUUUUACCAUUUUAACUUUACAGUCUGGAGAAAGUAGUCGACGCCUUGAGAUAUUUUUUUCUGAUGCACAAAACGGAUAUUUACAUUGCUGAUCUGCUCAAAGGCUAAUCUUUUUAAAGGUAGAUUCUGAACCUAGGUACAAUUGUAUAUGUAUGUUAUAAAUAAUGCUUUUUAUACUUCAUAGUUACAGA